This 232-nucleotide unclassified non-coding RNA is filed under the name fungal sp. RNAcentral describes it as "partial contains 5.8S ribosomal RNA, internal transcribed spacer 2, and large subunit ribosomal RNA". The record is from RNAcentral. Lineage: Eukaryota; Fungi.
CGCACAUCGCGCCCUUUGGCAUUCCGAGGGGCAUGCCUGUUCGAGCGUCAUUACACCACUCAAGCCUGCUUGGUAUUGGGCCACGGGGGUGACCCGGGCCUGAAAGUCGUCGGCCGGACCGCCUGAAUCUCAGCGUCGUGAAUCAAAUUCGCUGGCGAGAAGGACGGUCCGCGCCGUUAAAACUUUCGUUAUGGUUGACCUCGGAUCAGGUAGGGAUACCCGCUGAACUUAA